This 1227-nucleotide long non-coding RNA is filed under the name Homo sapiens (human). RNAcentral describes it as "non-protein coding lnc-MB-11:1". Lineage: Eukaryota; Metazoa; Chordata; Mammalia; Primates; Hominidae. The record is from RNAcentral.
AGAGCGCCGAGCGCAUCGAAUAAAACUCGGAGCCUGCUGAGCGCGGGAGCUGGCACUUAUUUAUUGAGAAUUUGCUAUGUCCCAGCCUUGCCCUAGAAGCUUACAAACAUUAUUUCACUUAAUCCUCACUGUAUUCCUGUCGCAUUUUGCAGAAGAGAACCAGGCUGAGAGAAGUUAAGUGACGUGCCCAAGGAUACACAGCGCUCUUCAAGGGUACCCGAAGCGAAUUUGCACCAAAGCAGCAGCUGCGUUGCUGCAGUUCUAUCUUCACCUUCACGAUGUUUCUCUUGGUCAAAAACACACUCAAGUCGUCUCCAAGUUCGAAGCAUUCAGCAAACAAUGGCAAGGCAGAGCCACCAGAAAGGUGUGGCUGUCAGAGGAGGACUGCUGGAUUGUGCCACGUGGAGCCAGGCAGAAGCCAUACACAGCUGGUUGCUACAGCAAGUGGAGCAGACCAAGUGUCCGGCUGCAGAAGAGGUGUCUAAUAGAAGGAGACAGCAGUGAGCAAAGCAGAGUGUGCCUCUGACCUCACGAAGCAGACACCCUAGUUGGGGGUGUGUGCUGGGAGUUUCCAAGACCACUCCCAGGUUCAAUGAUUCAUUAGGAGGACUCACAGGACUCAGUACGGCAGUGGUGCUCAUCACUAUGAUUUGUUAUGGUGAAAGGAUGCCAAACUAGAUCAGCAAAAGGAAAAGGCAUAUGGAGCGAAGUCCAGAGGAAACCAAGUGUGCAGGAUUUCAGACGAGUAGCCACCUGGAUGAGAUACUGAUUUUCCUGCUGAGUAGGAGUUGAAACAGAAUGGAGGGUGGAGAGAAAGGAACCAGAAACAUGGAAGAAAACUGGAACCAGCUCACACAGAGCAUCUGAGGAGGAGAGGGAAGAAAAGCCUGCAGGAGCCCCUUUUGCCCUUGACUGCCCUGUCCUGGAAGUGACCCCUCACUUCUGCUCAGAUUCCAUCAGUGAGAACGAGGCACAGGGACCCACCGAGACACCAAUGGGCUGUGGGCUGAGGAAGAGAUUGAGAAACUGAGGUCGUGGGAGAUGAAGUCAUUUUCCUAAGGUCCCAUAGCUGGUGGGGAAAAUGAGGCCCACAAGAAGGACAUCCCUUAUCAGUGGUGGGACCAGGACACAUAAGCCCAGGGCUGUCUGACUCCAAGAUCACUUCUCUUUCUCCUCCUGGAUUCUGAGACUGAUGGAAAGAGGGGCUCUCCAGGCUCUACCUUGAAG